RNAcentral lists this ribosomal RNA (1221 nucleotides) under metagenome. RNAcentral's name for it is "SSU rRNA". It matches the Rfam family "Eukaryotic small subunit ribosomal RNA", at positions 366 to 1398 of the family's 1831-position model. The record is from RNAcentral.
AGAAUCAGGGUUUGAUUCCGGAGAAGGAGCCUGAGAAACGGCUACUACUUCCAAGGAAGGCAGCAGGCGCGCAAAUUACCCAAUCCCGACACGGGGAGGUAGUGACAAAAAAUAACAAUACCGGUCUUAUUUAAGUCUGGUAAUUGGAAUGAGUACAAUCUAAAACCUUUAACGAGUAUCAAUUGGAGGGCAAGUCUGGUGCCAGCAGCCGCGGUAACUCCAGCUCCAAUAGCAUAUAUUAAAGUUGUUGCAGUUAAAAAGCUCGUAGUUGGAUUUUGAUGUUACUUUUCAUAACCUGCCUUGUAUAAGGUAUGUUUGUUGUGAUUAGUUCAUCUCCUUACUAGACUUUCAUGAUUACACUUAAUUGAGUGAUCAUUUCAUUCUGAUUUAUUGGGGUGAGUGAUGAGUAGACCUACUGGGUUUGAGAUUGUGGAUGAACUUCUUCGGAGGUUGGUUCUGCUUGAAUUCAGUAACUAUUUAUUAGAAAUCUAGUUCAUUUACUUUGAGUAAAUUAGAGUGUUCAAGGCAAGCAAAUUUGUUUCUGCAAUGAAUACUAUUAGCAUGGGAUAAUGGAACAGGACACGUAUUCUAGUUUUCCGUUGGUUUCUAGAAUUUUUAGUCGCUCCUUGGAGUGGCGAAGUGUAAUGAUUAAAAGGGACAGUUGGGGGCAUUCGUAUUUCAUUGUCAGAGGUGAAAUUCUUGGAUUUAUGAAAGACGAACUUCUGCGAAAGCAUUUGUCAAAGAUGUUUUCAUUAAUCAAGAACGAAAGUUAGGGGAUCGAAGACGAUCAGAUACCGUCGUAGUCUUAACCAUAAACUAUGCCGACCAGGGAUUGGAAGAUGUAUUAUCCUAUUUUAACGUAGGAAAACUCCUUCAGCACCUUACGAGAGAUCAUAAGUCUUUGGGUUCUGGGGGGAGUAUGGUCGCAAGGCUGAAACUUAAAGGAAUUGACGGAAGGGCACCACCAGGAGUGGAGCCUGCGGCUUAAUUUGACCCAACACGGGAAAACUCACCAGGUCCAGACACAGUUAGGAUUGACGGAUUGAGAGCUCUUUCUUGAUUCUGUGGGUGGUGGUGCAUGGCCGUUCUUAGUUGGUGGAGUGAUUUGUCUGGUUAAUUCCGAUAACGAACGAGACCUCAGCCUGCUAAUUAGUGAUGCAAAUGAUUACAUCCGUAAGGAGAGGGUUUCUGUUAAAGCUUUGGGUUUGACUUGGAGAUUUA